RNAcentral lists this unclassified non-coding RNA (331 nucleotides) under soil metagenome. RNAcentral describes it as "partial contains 5.8S ribosomal RNA, internal transcribed spacer 2, and large subunit ribosomal RNA". The stretch from base 1 to 120 matches the Rfam family "5.8S ribosomal RNA", at positions 35 to 154 of the family's 154-position model. The record is from RNAcentral.
GAUGAAGAACGCAGCGAAAUGCGAUAAGUAAUGUGAAUUGCAGAAUUCAGUGAAUCAUCGAAUCUUUGAACGCACAUUGCGCCCCCUGGUAUUCCGGGGGGCAUGCCUGUUCGAGCGUCAUUUCACCACUCAAGCCUCGCUUGGUAUUGGGCAACGCGGUCCGCCGCGUGCCUCAAAUCGACCGGCUGGGUCUUCUGUCCCCUAAGCGUUGUGGAAACUAUUCGCUAAAGGGUGUUCGGGAGACUACGCCGUAAAACAACCCCAUUUCUAAGGUUGACCUCGGAUCAGGUAGGGAUACCCGCUGAACUUAAGCAUAUCAAUAAGCGGAGGA